This 251-nucleotide ribosomal RNA is filed under the name uncultured prokaryote. Its description in RNAcentral is "partial 16S rRNA". It matches the Rfam family "Bacterial small subunit ribosomal RNA", at positions 525 to 775 of the family's 1533-position model. The record is from RNAcentral.
ACGGAGGAUGCAAGCGUUAUCCGGAUUCAUUGGGUUUAAAGGGUGCGCAGGCGGAAUGAUAAGUCAGUGGUGAAAUCCUACGGCUCAACUGUAGAACUGCCAUUGAUACUGUUGUUCUUGAGUACACUUGGAGUGGGCGGAAUGUGUCGUGUAGCGGUGAAAUGCGUAGAUAUGACAAGGAACACCGAUCGCGAAGGCAGCUCACUAGGUUGUAACUGACGCUCAGGCACGAAAGCGUGGGGAGCAAACAG